This 218-nucleotide long non-coding RNA is filed under the name Lathyrus oleraceus (garden pea). Its description in RNAcentral is "Pisum sativum (pea) long non-coding RNA (PSAT_LNC015376)". Lineage: Eukaryota; Viridiplantae; Streptophyta; Magnoliopsida; Fabales; Fabaceae. The record is from RNAcentral.
UGGAUUUCCCUUUUCAGGUUUUUAAUCCACCCAGACGCUCAUAUUUGCCUAAGCCGCCUUUUCGGGUCCUUAACUUAGCGAGUUGUUCGUGUUUCUUUUUUUUAUUUUUUAUUUUAGGCGAAGUAUUUCUUGACUGCAUCUGCGUUCACAGGACGAGUGAACUUUUCACCAUCCAUAGUUGUAAGAAUCAAAGCACUGCCUGAAAAGGCUCUCUUGAC